GUUUGAUCCUGGCUCAGGACGAACGCUGGCUGCGUGCUUAACACAUGCAAGUCGAACGCUGAAGCCCCAGCUUGCUGGGGUGGAUGAGUGGCGAACGGGUGAGUAACACGUGAGUAACCUGCCCCUGACUUCGGGAUAAGCCCGGGAAACUGGGUCUAAUACUGGAUACGACCUGUCCUCGCAUGAGGGUGGGUGGAAAGUUUUUUCGGUUGGGGAUGGGCUCGCGGCCUAUCAGUUUGUUGGUGAGGUAAUGGCUCACCAAGACGACGACGGGUAGCCGGCCUGAGAGGGCGACCGGCCACACUGGGACUGAGACACGGCCCAGACUCCUACGGGAGGCAGCAGUGGGGAAUAUUGCACAAUGGGGGAAACCCUGAUGCAGCGACGCAGCGUGCGGGAUGACGGCCUUCGGGUUGUAAACCGCUUUCAGCAGGGAAGAAGCGAAAGUGACGGUACCUGCAGAAGAAGUACCGGCUAACUACGUGCCAGCAGCCGCGGUAAUACGUAGGGUACGAGCGUUGUCCGGAAUUAUUGGGCGUAAAGAGCUCGUAGGUGGUUGGUCACGUCUGCUGUGGAAACGCAACGCUUAACGUUGCGCGUGCAGUGGGUACGGGCUGACUAGAGUGCAGUAGGGGAGUCUGGAAUUCCUGGUGUAGCGGUGAAAUGCGCAGAUAUCAGGAGGAACACCGGUGGCGAAGGCGGGACUCUGGGCUGUAACUGACACUGAGGAGCGAAAGCAUGGGGAGCGAACAGGAUUAGAUACCCUGGUAGUCCAUGCCGUAAACGUUGGGCACUAGGUGUGGGGGACAUUCCACGUUCUCCGCGCCGUAGCUAACGCAUUAAGUGCC
RNAcentral lists this ribosomal RNA (848 nucleotides) under uncultured bacterium. RNAcentral's name for it is "bacterial SSU rRNA". It matches the Rfam family "Bacterial small subunit ribosomal RNA", at positions 11 to 868 of the family's 1533-position model. The record is from RNAcentral.